GCGGACGUAGCUCAGUUGGUAGAGCACAACCUUGCCAAGGUUGGGGUCGCGAGUUCGAGUCUCGUCGUCCGCUCCA
Molecule: transfer RNA, 76 nt
Filed under: Cutibacterium acnes
Lineage: Bacteria; Bacillati; Actinomycetota; Actinomycetes; Propionibacteriales; Propionibacteriaceae
Also listed under: 7 other names
Description: tRNA-Gly
Rfam family: tRNA
About the family: Transfer RNA (tRNA) molecules are approximately 80 nucleotides in length. Their secondary structure includes four short double-helical elements and three loops (D, anti-codon, and T loops).
Source: RNAcentral